Molecule: long non-coding RNA, 1013 nt
Filed under: Coffea arabica (coffee)
Lineage: Eukaryota; Viridiplantae; Streptophyta; Magnoliopsida; Gentianales; Rubiaceae
Description: long non-coding RNA (CARA_LNC000989)
Source: RNAcentral
CAGCCAACUGCUUUUAAUGUUGCCCCAUGUUUUUCUCCAUCACAUUUAUUAAUACUCAGCAUAGAAAUCAGAUUUUAAAAAAAGAAAAAAUAAUAAUAAUCAAACUAGCAACAGGGGAGAAAAUAAUUCAGUGGGCUAGGCUAGCCACUUUACACUUUCUUUUCUCUUGUGCUGAACAACCACUUUUGCUUGCUUAUAAAAGCUUUUGUGUUGUAAUUAACUUUCUAGCCAACCUGUCUUUCUGUCAAGCAUCAAGAAAGUUUUUUCGCUUCAGUAUUUCACAGCAAUCUUUCAUUACUCUGUGCCUGUGGAGGAAAACCCUCAGCAGCUUUUCUCAGAUCAAUCAAUGGCUUCUCUUGUUCUUCUUCUAUCCGAACUAAUUAGACAUGAAAAUCCAGACCACCUAAUUUCAUUGCCCGCUUUUUCUUCUAAAACUACUACUGCCACGGCUAAUCCCAGGAACCCAAGUGCUGCAGCAUCCACCGCCAAAAGGGAUGUCAAGAUUUCCUCCAGUACAAGGUCAAGCGAUUACGAGGCAGAGCAAAUGCAAGAUGAUCUGCCAAGAGUUUGUGUGGACCUGGUUUAGGGUUUUUUUUUUUUUGUUUUCCAAUGUCAAUGUAGUGCAAUUUUAAUACCAACAGAUGUAGAUGUGUUUAUGCAAAUCAUUUCAAAUCUAAAAUUGAAUUAUGUGAUAUAUAUUUAUUAAUUUAUACCCCGCUUUUAUAUUUACCGAGAGUGACAGCGCAUAAAAAAUUACCAAUUAUUUUUCCUUCAAGUUUCACUAGCCGGGAUUUUGACGUCUGAUGGUGGGCCGUAACACAUGAAUUUCUAGCCCACAACGCUUUGAACCUUCAAAAUAUGACACAGCGGAUUCUCCAGGCAUUGCUGGGACUGGAUAAUGUCAGCCCAAAAACAAAAGGCCUUCUUGGGCUUACGUGAAGAAUAAGGCUUAUUAGGAAUGCAAAUUAAUGUAUUUUUGGCAGGAAGGCAAUCUCGGUCGGACGCCGGGCUGG